GACGCCGGCGGUGUGCCUAAUACAUGCAAGUCGAACGCGUUGGCCCAAUUGAUUGAUGGUGCUUGCACCUGAUUGAUUUUGGUCGCCAACGAGUGGCGGACGGGUGAGUAACACGUAGGUAACCUGCCCAGAAGCGGGGGACAACAUUUGGAAACAGAUGCUAAUACCGCAUAACAGCGUUGUUCGCAUGAACAACGCUUAAAAGAUGGCUUCUCGCUAUCACUUCUGGAUGGACCUGCGGUGCAUUAGCUUGUUGGUGGGGUAACGGCCUACCAAGGCGAUGAUGCAUAGCCGAGUUGAGAGACUGAUCGGCCACAAUGGGACUGAGACACGGCCCAUACUCCUACGGGAGGCAGCAGUAGGGAAUCUUCCACAAUGGGCGCAAGCCUGAUGGAGCAACACCGCGUGAGUGAAGAAGGGUUUCGGCUCGUAAAGCUCUGUUGUUAAAGAAGAACACGUAUGAGAGUAACUGUUCAUACGUUGACGGUAUUUAACCAGAAAGUCACGGCUAACUACGUGCCAGCAGCCGCGGUAAUACGUAGGUGGCAAGCGUUAUCCGGAUUUAUUGGGCGUAAAGAGAGUGCAGGCGGUUUUCUAAGUCUGAUGUGAAAGCCUUCGGCUUAACCGGAGAAGUGCAUCGGAAACUGGAUAACUUGAGUGCAGAAGAGGGUAGUGGAACUCCAUGUGUAGCGGUGGAAUGCGUAGAUAUAUGGAAGAACACCAGUGGCGAAGGCGGCUACCUGGUCUGCAACUGACGCUGAGACUCGAAAGCAUGGGUAGCGAACAGGAUUAGAUACCCUGGUAGUCCAUGCCGUAAACGAUGAGUGCUAGGUGUUGGAGGGUUUCCGCCCUUCAGUGCCGGAGCUAACGCAUUAAGCACUCCGCCUGGGGAGUACGACCGCAAGGUUGAAACUCAAAGGAAUUGACGGGGGCCCGCACAAGCGGUGGAGCAUGUGGUUUAAUUCGAAGCUACGCGAAGAACCUUACCAGGUCUUGACAUCUUGCGCCAACCCUAGAGAUAGGGCGUUUCCUUCGGGAACGCAAUGACAGGUGGUGCAUGGUCGUCGUCAGCUCGUGUCGUGAGAUGUUGGGUUAAGUCCCGCAACGAGCGCAACCCUUGUUACUAGUUGCCAGCAUUAAGUUGGGCACUCUAGUGAGACUGCCGGUGACAAACCGGAGGAAGGUGGGGACGACGUCAGAUCAUCAUGCCCCUUAUGACCUGGGCUACACACGUGCUACAAUGGACGGUACAACGAGUCGCGAACUCGCGAGGGCAAGCAAAUCUCUUAAAACCGUUCUCAGUUCGGACUGCAGGCUGCAACUCGCCUGCACGAAGUCGGAAUCGCUAGUAAUCGCGGAUCAGCAUGCCGCGGUGAAUACGUUCCCGGGCCUUGUACACACCGCCCGUCACACCAUGAGAGUUUGUAACACCCAAAGUCGGUGGGGUAACCUUUUAGGAGCCAGCCGCCUAAGGUGGGACAGAUGAUUAGGGUGAAG
RNAcentral lists this ribosomal RNA (1497 nucleotides) under Limosilactobacillus fermentum. Its description in RNAcentral is "bacterial SSU rRNA". It matches the Rfam family "Bacterial small subunit ribosomal RNA". Lineage: Bacteria; Bacillati; Bacillota; Bacilli; Lactobacillales; Lactobacillaceae. The record is from RNAcentral.